UAGGUUAUAUAUAGUAUGACUGUUUUGGUAUAAUUGUUGUUUCUGUCUGUGAUUAAAGGAGUUUAUAUCUAGAUGUUAUGUCAUAAAAUAUUCAUUUUUA
Molecule: long non-coding RNA, 100 nt
Organism: Alosa sapidissima (American shad)
Lineage: Eukaryota; Metazoa; Chordata; Actinopteri; Clupeiformes; Clupeidae
Exons: 4
Source: RefSeq, a predicted model, not a curated record